GAUGAACGCUAGCUACAGGCUUAACACAUGCAAGUCGAGGGGCAGCAUUUCAGUUUGCUUGCAAACUGGAGAUGGCGACCGGCGCACGGGUGAGUAACACGUAUCCAACCUGCCGAUAACUCGGGGAUAGCCUUUCGAAAGAAAGAUUAAUACCCGAUGGUAUAAUCAGACCGCAUGGUCUUGUUAUUAAAGAAUUUCGGUUAUCGAUGGGGAUGCGUUCCAUUAGGCAGUUGGUGAGGUAACGGCUCACCAAACCUUCGAUGGAUAGGGGUUCUGAGAGGAAGGUCCCCCACAUUGGAACUGAGGCACGGUCCAAACUCCUACGGGAGGCAGCAGUGAGGAAUAUUGGUCAAUGGGCGCAGGCCUGAACCAGCCAAGUAGCGUGAAGGAUGACUGCCCUAUGGGUUGUAAACUUCUUUUAUAUGGGGAUAAAGUUUUCCCACGUGUGGAAUUUUGUAUGUACCAUAUGAAUAAGGAUCGGCUAACUCCGUGCCAGCAGCCCGCGGUAAUACGGAGGAUCCGAGCGUUAUCCGGAUUUAUGGGGUUUAAAGGGAGCGUAGGUGGACAGUUAAGUCAGUUGUGAAAGUUUGCGGCUCAACCGUAAAAUUGCAGUUGAUACUGGCUGUCUUGAGUACAGUAGAGGUGGGCGGAAUUCGUGGUGUAGCGGUGAAAUGCUUAGAUAUCACGAAGAACUCCGAUUGCGAAGGCAGCUCACUGGACUGCAACUGACACUGAUGCUCGAAAGUGUGGGUAUCAAACAGGAUUAGAUACCCUGGUAGUCCACACAGUAAACGAUGAAUACUCGCUGUUUGCGAUAUACAGUAAGCGGCCAAGCGAAAGCAUUAAGUAUUCCACCUGGGGAGUACGCCGGCAACGGUGAAACUCAAAGGAAUUGACGGGGGCCCGCACAAGCGGAGGAACAUGUGGUUUAAUUCGAUGAUACGCGAGGAACCUUACCCGGGCUUAAAUUGCAUUUGAAUAUAUUGGAAACAGUAUAGCCGUAAGGCAAAUGUGAAGGUGCUGCAUGGUUGUCGUCAGCUCGUGCCGUGAGGUGUCGGCUUAAGUGCCAUAACGAGCGCAACCCUUAUCUUUAGUUACUAACAGGUCAUGCUGAGGACUCUAGAGAGACUGCCGUCGUAAGAUGUGAGGAAGGUGGGGAUGACGUCAAAUCAGCACGGCCCUUACGUCCGGGGCUACACACGUGUUACAAUGGGGGGUACAGAAGGCAGCUACCUGGUGACAGGAUGCUAAUCCCAAAAGCCUCUCUCAGUUCGGAUCGAAGUCUGCAACCCGACUUCGUGAAGCUGGAUUCGCUAGUAAUCGCGCAUCAGCCAUGGCGCGGUGAAUACGUUCCCGGGCCU
This 1361-nucleotide ribosomal RNA is filed under the name uncultured bacterium. RNAcentral's name for it is "bacterial SSU rRNA". It matches the Rfam family "Bacterial small subunit ribosomal RNA", at positions 28 to 1381 of the family's 1533-position model. The record is from RNAcentral.